UACGUAGGGGGCUAGCGUUGUCCGGAAUCAUUGGGCGUAAAGAGCGUGUAGGCGGUCCGGUAAGUCCGCUGUGAAAGUCGGGGGCUCAACCCUCGAAUGCCGGUGGAUACUGUCGGGCUAGAGUACGGAAGAGGCGAGUGGAAUUCCUGGUGUAGCGGUGAAAUGCGCAGAUAUCAGGAGGAACACCAAUUGCGAAGGCAGCUCGCUGGGACGUCACUGACGCUGAGACGCGAAAGCGUGGGGAGCAAACAGG
Molecule: ribosomal RNA, 253 nt
Filed under: uncultured bacterium
Lineage: Bacteria
Description: partial 16S ribosomal RNA
Rfam family: Bacterial small subunit ribosomal RNA
Source: RNAcentral